Megalops cyprinoides (Indo-Pacific tarpon) is the source of this 118-nucleotide long non-coding RNA. RefSeq lists it as uncharacterized. The transcript has 3 exons. Lineage: Eukaryota; Metazoa; Chordata; Actinopteri; Elopiformes; Megalopidae. The record is from RefSeq and is a predicted model, not a curated record.
UGGUGCGUCGCUGCGCUUGCUGGUGCUGUAUGUGAAAGCAUGCUAAAAGGUGGCUAAAGAAGUAAGACUCAGCCUUCGCAGCUUUAGACCCAUGUGCUCCAUCAUUCCAUCUCCUGUC